AGAAGUAUUUGUACACCAUCAGUCUCACAGCAGGACACUUGGCAUGUGGGUCCGUGCAACACGAACCAGACAACGUUCCAAGCCAAUAUUCUGCAUCCAUUCCAAGUCACGUCUCACCAGUCUCAUGUGUAACCAGAGAAAUUGUGGUUUUGCAUUUAGACAAGAAGAGCUACCGGAUUCACAUGUACAGUAUGUUUUGUCUUUAAGAGUUAUACAGUUUUAUAAAACAAUAAAAAGUCUGUAUUUUAAUUAUCCAAAUAUUUAUUCAUCUCAUUUUGCGUUCUGAAGAUUAAAAAAGUCAUAUGGGUUUCCAACAACACGAAGGCUCAUAAUCAGAACAGGGUGGAACCUUGGGACAUAUUUCAAAAGCAACAGUUUCCAGGAACGCCGGGUUGAGGAAUACCAAAAGGGUCUGUCUCUUUCAUGAUAACAACCAGAAGAAUGAGACUCUCAGUUCUGGCCAGAUUUCUGCUGUAAGCUCCAUUUAUGUGCUGCCUUACGAAUCAUUUUUGCUGUCCUCUAAGAGCUGGUGGACCACAUGGAGAGAUGACUGUCCAUAAACCUCCUACCCCAUUGGAAUGCCACAAUCACACACUACUGUAGGUCAGGACUGAGAAAAGCUCCAAAAAUACCACAUGAUUCCUGACUCUCACCCCCAGGGUAAUAAAACACCCACAGCACUGUCCCUAGGGAGGUGUAUGGGGUUAUUUUGGAUACCAACA
This is a long non-coding RNA of Triplophysa rosa, 722 nucleotides long. RefSeq lists it as uncharacterized. Lineage: Eukaryota; Metazoa; Chordata; Actinopteri; Cypriniformes; Nemacheilidae. The transcript has 3 exons. The record is from RefSeq and is a predicted model, not a curated record.